This 3356-nucleotide long non-coding RNA is filed under the name Capsicum annuum. RNAcentral describes it as "long non-coding RNA (CANN_LNC020277)". The record is from RNAcentral. Lineage: Eukaryota; Viridiplantae; Streptophyta; Magnoliopsida; Solanales; Solanaceae.
AAAAUAAUUCUUGAAGUAAAGAAGUUCAAAAGAAAUAUUAAGAACCCUAAAAAAAAGAAUUUUGUGCUUUUUCACGGGUGCUAUGCUUGCCAAAAGGCCUUUGUAAUUAUGGUCAUGUGUCCCUUUUAUACUAGAAAAUUUUUUACCAUAUCUGUACUUUUGACACGACGCAUCACAAAUCGUGUUGUAUCACCCAAAGAAUCACGUCCUUAUCGCGUCGUUCCACUGAAAUUCCACUUCUAAAAUCAGGCUAAGUCCAUUUUGUCACCACACGAUGCGAUGCACUGACAUCGCGUUGUGUCACUGGAAGUUGCUCCUCAAUAUUAAGCUAAGUAUGAAAAAUUGAGGCAUCGAUGCGACGAGUUGACAUCCCGUCGAUGCACUAGAAAUUAUUCUUCCAUAUUUUUCUAAGGUAUAUAAUGUUACCAGUUUACGCAACGCGUUGAGAUUGCGUCAUGUCACUGGUAUUCUUCUUCAUUUUCUUUCCUUCAUCUCAUCAAUCCUCAACACUUUUCUUUCUUCUUUUCUCUCGUGCAUCUUUAUAUGUUUUUGCCUUCGAUUUGCAUGGUCCUUUGCCUAAUCAUGAUAUGCAUCCCAUUUUCUUCCAAAUCCAUGGGAAAUCAACCCUGUUUUUCUAAUCACAUCGGUUAGCUACGAAACAUAAUUUAACAAGUAAUUCAACAUGUUUAACAUACUUUUCAUUCUCAAAACAAGUUCAAAUAUGGGUAAAUAGCGGUGUUUGGAUAUAUAAAUAAGUACAAGAUCACCAUCCCACACUUAAAACCUUGUUCGUCCUUGGACAAACUUCAAGCAUCACAAUACUCAAACCUUCUAAUCACAACCUAAGAAUCAUGCUGGUGUUAGACUCAUAAACUUUUAUUUCAAAAUUUCAAUGUCCCAACAGUGCAUUCAAUUUGUUGGCGAAUUUAAUAUAAGCAUGAAAUCAGGAAUCCAAUAAGAACUCCAGACUUUCAUCCGCAUGCACCCUCACAGCAAGAAAGUUUUCCCAUAUCACUCACACUUUAACAAUCUUAAUCAGAAUGGGAAUAUUAAAUUUCAAACACUCGCUCUCAACAAAGAAUUCACACAUAUACAGAGAUGAACCAUAGCCUUUCCCUUAGUGUAUUACUCUAUUAAUAGUCGAGUAUUAAAAUGUAGGAUCAAUUAGGGCUUUUCAUGGUUGUAAUGCAGGCUAAAGGACGGGUAAGAACUAUUUUGGAAAUAGUGACUAAUCUCCCUAAGCACUUUAAUACAUAACUACCUUCAUUCAAAAUGACAUUCUUUUCAACCAAACUUUCCACUUCAUUAUCUUUACACAUCCAUUGUUCCACCCAGAUCUUUCUAAGCACAUUUACAAAACUUUGGCAGGAGUAUUUCUUUUACAUUUCAGCUUUUCUUUAAAUCCUAAAUUUUGUUAUGCACUCCUAUAGUAGCCACCCUCAACCUAAGCAAUUUGUCUUAAUUGAGGUGCACAUUGUCCUUAACGGACCAGGGCCAAAACAGGUUCAUUGUAAUGCAAUAAUCGGGUAAUGAGAACUUAACUUUUUAUUACACAUUAUUUUCUAACUCCUAACCAUCACGAACAAAUGCGCAAAUUACUUCUCUUACAGCUUCACUUUCACUUUUUUCCCCUAUUUUGUAUUUCAAAUUCCCCCUUAUUCCAUUAUUUGCAUUAAAGUGCUUAGGAAAUAUAGAUCAAUUAAGGUCUUACCAAAGAAAAGGACUAGGCUAUAUAUGAGGCUACCAAGGAAAUCAGGCUAUAGGCUCAAUGGGGAUAACUAUGAAUAUGCUUAAGGGUAGGCAAAUAAAGUCUUUAAAAUCUGGUUAACAAAGAAAUGCCUAAAUCACUUCCUACUCCCCGUACCCUUUAUUUCUCUUUGUAAACACACCGGGCAAGUUUUAAUCAUUCACAUACAUGCAAAAUAUGAACAAUUACUCACACACUCGGUGCAUGCUAAGAAUCAAGUCGGAUCCUUAAGGUCUCCUAUUUUUGCACUUUAUCAAAUUCAAUAUUAAGCCAAUCAAAUCAAUUACACCUAUUGAGAUUUCACCUAAAAAACAAACAAAUAAUAUCCAACACGUACAUUCCUCCAAGGUUGCAAUCGGGGUCUUACUACUUUCUCAACUUCUAAAGAUGUACUCCCCUUAAGACGGUCGUCAUCCAUCUAUCAUAGGGGAAAGCACAAAUUAAGAUGAAUGCAUAACAAAAUUUGCCAGAAAGGACACACCUAAUUACUGUAAUCUGAAAUUGCACCACAAAGGGUAAAAAUAAAAUACUACCAUUAACAUAUACUAACAAAAAUAAUUCUUGCCAAAAAAGGCAAUACUUGUCAACUUACAAAUUUAUCAAAAUAUCCAAAAACACAAAACCAAUAAAAAUUGUUUGUUCAUCCAACCAAGCCAACACAACAUAGUCAAAUAGAAGAGAUGAAGAAGAAGAUGAAGAUCGACCUUUCUUUGAUUAUUAAAACUUUAAUUUGACCCAAAUUAAAGAUCUAUUUUGGAAUAAUAGAUCAAUUCCAUUAGGAGGUAUAAAACUUGACCGAACCCAAACGCACACGCAAGUGUACGUGGUCUUAUCAAGUAAUAUAGUGGUUUCAAGGAAGCCCAAGUAUCGAUCUUUCAGGGAUUUGUGUUCGCCGCCAAUCUAAUUCUAAUCUAACUAAUUGAGGAAAAAAGUUUGUAAUUUUGUAAAUUAAAAAUAAAAUAAAUAAUUCGUAAAAAUAAAAAUAUUGGGACAAUCAAUGGAGAAAAGCUCAGGGUUAAAGCACUUUGAACAAUCAUACUAUGUUAUUGAAUUUCAUUCGACAACUUGUUUAUUGUGGUUGUUGAUUCGUAGGGUUAAUUGAAUGAUCAUGGUUUUCCAACUAAUAAUCUUUUGUCUAAUAUGGAUAUUACAACUACAUCGUUGAGCAGGAAUAUAAUAUUAAGUUAAUUAAAGUUAUCAUACUACGUGUGAAUUAAGUAAGGCAUCUAAGUACAUUCCUGUCCUAGAUGCUAAGUUUAAUUCUUUAUUUUAUAAAAGAAUAAAAACUCAAACUUUGUUUAUUCCCAUGUUCUAUCUCCCUAUUCUCUCUCCCGAGAUCAAAAUAUUGAUAAUAUAUGUAUUCUAAGGGUCACGAAUCAUUAAAAUAAUUAAAACAAGAAUAAAUAAACAACCAAAUAUGAUAAGCAAAAAUUAAUCAAAAUUAAUUCAAAAUAAUAGUAAUCAUGUUCGUAGUUUUAAUUUCGAAAGGAGAAUUUUUAGCCACUAAUAUUUAUAAUCAUAAUCUAAAUAAUUGAAUACAUGAUAUGAAAAAAUUAAAUACUAAAAAUAAAAUUAAAACCUAAUUAACUGUGUAGUAGCUCCUCCACUU